UGGGCUGUAUGGUUCGAUUUUCUCCUUUAAAAGGAGAUUGUCACUGGUUCGAUCCCAGUAUCGCCCAU
RNAcentral lists this transfer RNA (68 nucleotides) under Synechococcus sp. YX-04-1. RNAcentral describes it as "tRNA-Ser". It matches the Rfam family "tRNA". Rfam says of the family: Transfer RNA (tRNA) molecules are approximately 80 nucleotides in length. Lineage: Bacteria; Bacillati; Cyanobacteriota; Cyanophyceae; Synechococcales; Synechococcaceae. The record is from RNAcentral.